GCUGGCAUGGUGUAGUUGGUUAUCAUACCAGUCUAGCAAACUGGUGGUUGCCCCCAGUUCGAGCCAGAGUGAAAUCA
Molecule: non-coding RNA, 77 nt
Organism: Choiromyces venosus 120613-1
Lineage: Eukaryota; Fungi; Ascomycota; Pezizomycetes; Pezizales; Tuberaceae
Source: the annotation of a GenBank genome assembly